UGCGCCUUGCCACGCCCGCUCAGAAACUACAAAGGAAUUGACGGGGGCCCGCACAAGCGGCGGAGCAUGUGGAUUAAUUCGAUGCAACGCGAAGAACCUUACCUGGGUUUGACAUACACCGGAAAACCGUAGAGAUACGGUCCCCUUGUGGUCGGUGUACAGGUGGUGCAUGGUUGUCGUCAGCUCGUGUCGUGAGAUGUUGGGUUAAGUCCCGCAACGAGCGCAACCCUUGUCUUAUGUUGCCAGCACGUAAUGGUGGGGACUCGUAAGAGACUGCCGGGGUCAACUCGGAGGAAGGUGGGGACGACGUCAAGUCAUCAUGCCCCUUAUGUCCAGGGCUUCACACAUGCUACAAUGGCCAGUACAGAGGGCUGCGAGACCGUGAGGUGGAGCGAAUCCCUUAAAGCUGGUCUCAGUUCGGAUCGGGGUCUGCAACUCGACCCCGUGAAGUCGGAGUCGCUAGUAAUCGCAGAUCAGCAACGCUGCGGUGAAUACGUUCCCGGGCCUU
This 508-nucleotide ribosomal RNA is filed under the name uncultured Rhodococcus sp. Its description in RNAcentral is "bacterial SSU rRNA". It matches the Rfam family "Bacterial small subunit ribosomal RNA", at positions 903 to 1382 of the family's 1533-position model. The record is from RNAcentral. Lineage: Bacteria; Bacillati; Actinomycetota; Actinomycetes; Mycobacteriales; Nocardiaceae.